UUGCUUCUUGGCCUUUUGGCAAAAAUCAAGUGUAG
Molecule: small nuclear RNA, 35 nt
Filed under: Cervus elaphus hippelaphus
Lineage: Eukaryota; Metazoa; Chordata; Mammalia; Artiodactyla; Cervidae
Source: RNAcentral